This 337-nucleotide unclassified non-coding RNA is filed under the name soil metagenome. RNAcentral describes it as "partial contains 5.8S ribosomal RNA, internal transcribed spacer 2, and large subunit ribosomal RNA". The stretch from base 1 to 120 matches the Rfam family "5.8S ribosomal RNA", at positions 35 to 154 of the family's 154-position model. The record is from RNAcentral.
GAUGAAGAACGCAGCGAAAUGCGAUAAGUAGUGUGAAUUGCAGAAUUCAGUGAAUCAUCGAAUCUUUGAACGCACAUUGCGCCCUUUGGUAUUCCAAAGGGCAUGCCUGUUCGAGCGUCAUUUGUACCCUCAAGCUUUGCUUGGUGUUGGGCGUCUUGUCUCUCUCCCGAGACUCGCCUUAAAAUCAUUGGCAGCCGGCCUACUGGUUUCGGAGCGCAGCACAUUAUUUGCGCUCUUGUCCAGCCGCGGUCGCGCGUCCAUGAAGCUUCUUUCAAACUUUUGACCCCGGAUCAGGUAGGGAUACCCGCUGAACUUAAGCAUAUCAAUAAGCGGAGGA